GAGGUGCAGCUCAGUGGUAGAGCACUUGCCUAGCACAUGAGAGGGACUGGGUUCGACCCUCAGCAUUACA
This 70-nucleotide transfer RNA is filed under the name Marmota monax (woodchuck). RNAcentral's name for it is "tRNA.Ala". The record is from RNAcentral. Lineage: Eukaryota; Metazoa; Chordata; Mammalia; Rodentia; Sciuridae.